CGAAUGGAUUGAGAGCUUGCUCUCAAGAAGUUAGCGGCGGACGGGUGAGUAACACGUGGGUAACCUGCCCAUAAGACUGGGAUAACUCCGGGAAACCGGGGCUAAUACCGGAUAANAUUUUGAACNGCAUGGUUCGAAAUUGAAAGGCGGCUUCGGCUGUCACUUAUGGAUGGACCCGCGUCGCAUUAGCUAGUUGGUGAGGUAACGGCUCACCAAGGCAACGAUGCGUAGCCGACCUGAGAGGGUGAUCGGCCACACUGGGACUGAGACACGGCCCAGACUCCUACGGGAGGCAGCAGUAGGGAAUCUUCCGCAAUGGACGAAAGUCUGACGGAGCAACGCCGCGUGAGUGAUGAAGGCUUUCGGGUCGUAAAACUCUGUUGUUAGGGAAGAACAAGUGCUAGUUGAAUAAGCUGGCACCUUGACGGUACCUAACCAGGAAAGCCACGGCUAACUACGUGCCAGCAGCCGCGGUAAUACGUAGGUGGCAAGCGUUAUCCGGAAUUAUUGGGCGUAAAGCGCGCGCAGGUGGUUUUCUUAAGUCUGAUGUGAAAGCCCACGGCUCACCGUGGAGGGUCAUUGGAAACUGGGAGACUUGAGUGCAGAAGAGGAAAGUGGAAUUCCAUGUGUAGCGGUGAAAAUGCGGUAGAGAUAUGGAGGAACACCAGUGGCGAAGGCGACUUUCUUGGUCUGUAACUGACACUUGAGGCGCGAAAGCGUGGGGAGCAAACAGGAUUAGAUACCUUGGUAGU
RNAcentral lists this ribosomal RNA (752 nucleotides) under Bacillus thuringiensis. Its description in RNAcentral is "bacterial SSU rRNA". It matches the Rfam family "Bacterial small subunit ribosomal RNA", at positions 67 to 794 of the family's 1533-position model. The record is from RNAcentral. Lineage: Bacteria; Bacillati; Bacillota; Bacilli; Caryophanales; Bacillaceae.